RNAcentral lists this long non-coding RNA (243 nucleotides) under Homo sapiens (human). RNAcentral describes it as "non-protein coding lnc-FAM84A-4:1". Lineage: Eukaryota; Metazoa; Chordata; Mammalia; Primates; Hominidae. The record is from RNAcentral.
UGUUGAAUUGUAAUCCUAAUGUGUUGGAGCAGAGGCCUGGUGGGAGGCUCAGGCAUGGCGGGCUGCAGGUCCCGAGCCCUGCCCGGCGGGAAGGCAGCUAAGGCCCGGCCAGAAAUCGAGCACAGUGCCAGUGGGCUGGCACUGCUGGGGGACCCAGUACACCCUCCGCAGCUGCUGGGCCGGGUGCUAAGCCCCUCAUUGCCCAGGGCCGGCAGGGCGGGUCAGCUGCUCCAAGUGCGGGGC